Molecule: long non-coding RNA, 2411 nt
Organism: Dermochelys coriacea (leatherback sea turtle)
Lineage: Eukaryota; Metazoa; Chordata; Testudines; Dermochelyidae
Exons: 2
Source: RefSeq, a predicted model, not a curated record
CUGGCUCUGGAUCUGCCUGCUGCACACCUGUGGAAGAGGAAUGAAUAGAGGGGGUGUGUGAACCGUUUUUGCUCCAGACUGAGUGGCGCCACCAACAAAACACAAGACAUGCUUGAUCAACAACCCAAAACAAACCAGGUCAAACAACAACCUCAGCUCCCAUGCUAGGCCAAAACAGAGGAAUACACAGUUGCAAGCCCCAGUGAUAAGCGCUUGACACAGGGGGUUUAAAUAAUAAUAAUAAAACAGGCUUCCAGCCAACCUUGUUUGCUCAGUCCAGACCCCAUUGCUGUACUCCAGAUGACACAGAAAGGAAAGACAGUCUCAAUGCUACGAAAAGAGACUUUCUUUAGAAAAGAAUGUAGGUGCACUCAGGCCAGAGAGGCACUAGUGCUUCUAGAAUAAUACAUGAUUCAUGCAUUUAAUGGAGAAGAAAUUAACUCCUAAGGAAUGCGCAAGACUCCAACCCAUUUUAAAAAAAGAGCUAGCUGAAACAUUUACAGUGCAAAGGGCACUGGUGUAACAAUACUACAGACGGCAGAGAUGCAGCCUUUUCUCUAGAUGCCCAAUAAUUAAUUGAGACUCACCUUGAGAGUGCAGUUCAGCGGCACAGAAUACUGUCCCCCUGCUUGUUAACAGCGCCAGCCUGCACAACAAAACACCAGUUUAAAAAAAAGAAAAAUGAGUGCAAAUAAUUAGCUUGGCCAUGAUAACUGUGCUUGUAUCUGGAUCACGCACACGGGCAGAGACCAGCCUAGAGAGGUGACAAGCUCCACAAAGGAGAGCGCAAGCCACAAGGACUGCCAGCCUGGGCCAGCCAAGUCCUACCGCACACAGAUCAGUGCACCCGACAGCAGGUUGCUGGAUUCUCAGCGUGACACCUCCUGGCUCCGACACAGGCAGGGACACCAGGGGCUGCUGAGUGUCACAUUGCGAGCACACAGCCGGACCCGUCGCCCUGGCACCGCCGGCCGGAGAGUCACAGGUUCCUUUCUGUCCCUCAGAAGCAAACGCCUUCUGCUGCUAAGGGUGGAUCCCGGACGAGAAAGCUCCCUCCCGCUCCCAGCCACAGCCACAGCCAUUUUUUUUAUAUACAUAAGGGUUUGUAAAGGGUUUCAGGGCGUGUGUAUACAUAUAUACAUAUACCCUGAAACCGUUAAAUGUGCACCCUCCCCGUAAGUGUUGAGAUCAGCGACAGUCCCCGUAAGUGUGCACAGAAUCAUUGUACGGAUUCCUGGGUGCACACCCAUUAGACAUACUUCCCUGAGCGGCUGUAACUACCCAGGAAGGGUAGAUGUGUGUGCGUACGUCUAUACGCGCGCCAGCGACCAGCUCAUCCGUCUAAGGGGAAGCGCAUGGCGCGGUACAAAGCGUGUGCAUCUACAGGCAGGUGUGUGAGCGAUGCACGCGCCGAAUGGGUCACACCACGGAAGUACGCCGUCCAGGGGCUACAGGUGCAGACUGGCGGACAGAUCCUGCUCGCCCUGAAGUCAAUGGCAAGACUCCCGAGCGGGUCUCGGGCGCCCGCAGAACGACCACAGGGGUCCCGUCCGUGCAGCACCCACACGCCUAAAGGGAAUCUCUGUCGACGCCGGUCGUUGCAGAGACACAGGGAGUCCGGGGUACCCCGGCCACACACACCCUUCACGGAGCGCCCAGCAUGAGCCCUGCAGUCCCCAGCUGGCUGGCCAAUGCUACGCGUACACACUCCUGCCCAGCGUGGGCAACGCGGCCAGCGCCGCGCCUCGCGUUUCCCCUGCCACGGCGCUUACCGGGUCGGUGUUGAGCGCUGUAAGCGGGGUCCGGGGGCUGGCUGCGGGGCAGCUCCCUGGGUGCAGCGGGGGUGGCUGCUGCUGCUGCUGCCUGAGCAGAGCCGGGUGCGUCUCCAGAGCCAGCUGCAGGUCGAGGAUGUAGUCGAUGACAUGCUGCAGGAUCUCCACUUUGCUGACCCGCUUGUUGGGCGGGAUGGUGGGCACUAGCUUCCGGAGCCGGCUGUAACAGUCAUUCAUAUCGCACUGCAGGCACAGCGACGCCGGCUCCUCGCCCGACGGGGCCCCCUUGCAGCCGUGCUCGGCCAGGCAGCGCAGAGCCAACUGCCCGCCUCCGCCGCCUCCUCCUCCGCCGCCGCCUCCUCCAGCGCCGCCGCAGCAGCCCGCUUGCGCCUUCCUGCUGGGGUGGCGGACGGGACUGACCGCCUUCAUGGUGCACAGGGAGAGAGCCCCUCGGGCGCCGAUGCACACCGCGGACCGCCCGCAAUGCAACAAGAGCAAGAGGCAGCGCUCAGCCAACGCAGCGAUCCCUUCCUAACGCAACCAAGGAGGGGCAGCCCGUCUCUGGAUACAAUCUCCGGGCUUUGCCAGAGGGGAUGCCAGACCGUGCAAAGAAAAUCCACCCACCCAGGCUAGUCAUUC